Molecule: long non-coding RNA, 634 nt
Organism: Bos mutus (wild yak)
Lineage: Eukaryota; Metazoa; Chordata; Mammalia; Artiodactyla; Bovidae
Source: Ensembl
GGUGCCCCGCGGACCUCGUGCCCAGCCUGUGUCCGAGUGACGCCAGGGAGGCCGCUCCUCAGUGCUUAAGACAUUCAGAGGACACUAGAAAAGGAGAAAGGCCAAAUUAAAAAGAAAACAAACUGCCAGCAACUCUAGUUCUUUUUUUCCCUGUGAGAACACUGUCAGCCCACUGUGGAACUGAAAUUCCAUAGCAUGAAGAAAUUUAAGUUGAUUUUAUGUAUCAUAAAGUUUAUGAAAAGACUCUUCACAGGUUCUAUAGCUGUCAACGGAAAAGUGUCACCUGCCAGAACAGUAAACAAUGGAUGUUACAGUCAUCAAGCCACUACAGACACUCCAGCGGGGCACCCUGAGGGGACUCAGGAGGAGAAAGCACCAGACACUGGCCCCAGAUGGCUGAGGGGCACAUCAAAGGAAUGACUUCUGUGAGCCAGACUCUUGCAUCUUCCUUUACACAGAAAAGUGCAAAAUUCCUUACUCUGAGAUGUCCGGUUUUCUUAACAGUAAUCCCUUGAUGUUCUAACUACCUGGUCUUUGUUGCAAAAACUCCUGUGUGUCCUGGCUCCUCCCUUACCUCUCUGGGGCAGUUCUUUAGGGUAGCUGUCCCCAGCCAUUUUGGUCCCAGUGACUGGUU